This is a long non-coding RNA of Mytilus californianus (California mussel), 240 nucleotides long. RefSeq lists it as uncharacterized. NCBI's taxonomy places the organism in Eukaryota, Metazoa, Mollusca, Bivalvia, Mytilida, Mytilidae. The transcript has 2 exons. The record is from RefSeq and is a predicted model, not a curated record.
UCAAAUGUAAAGUUUGCUGGUCUAGAUAUCAACAGAGAUGGAUUGAUUGAACAGUUUGAGUUCAUGGACGCCUUGAAACAGAUGGACAUAACGGACAACGCAACGAUUUUUCACCAUUGGUCAAUAAUGGACGAAGAUAAAGAUGGAACAAUUACUCUGGAAGAAUUUGACAAAGAAAAAAUAUAGUUGACUCUGAUCACAAUCGGACUUUUGAAAUGAAUUAAACAAAAUACUGCAUUA